This 90-nucleotide transfer RNA is filed under the name Rhodospirillaceae bacterium. RNAcentral describes it as "tRNA-Ser". It matches the Rfam family "tRNA". From Rfam's summary of the family: Transfer RNA (tRNA) molecules are approximately 80 nucleotides in length. Their secondary structure includes four short double-helical elements and three loops (D, anti-codon, and T loops). Further hydrogen bonds mediate the characteristic L-shaped molecular structure. tRNAs have two regions of fundamental functional importance: the anti-codon, which is responsible for specific mRNA codon recognition, and the 3' end, to which the tRNAs corresponding amino acid is attached (by aminoacyl-tRNA synthetases). tRNAs cope with the degeneracy of the genetic code in two manners: having more than one tRNA (with a specific anti-codon) for a particular amino acid; and 'wobble' base-pairing, i.e. permitting non-standard base-pairing at the 3rd anti-codon position. Lineage: Bacteria; Pseudomonadati; Pseudomonadota; Alphaproteobacteria; Rhodospirillales; Rhodospirillaceae. The record is from RNAcentral.
GGAUGGGUGGCCGAGCGGUUGAAGGCAGCGGUCUUGAAAACCGCCAGGCGCGUGAGCGUCUCGUGGGUUCGAAUCCCACCCCAUCCGCCA